GACGAACGCUGGCGGCGUGCUUAACACAUGCAAGUCGAACGGAAAGGCCCUGCUUUUGUGGGGUGCUCGAGUGGCGAACGGGUGAGUAACACGUGAGUAACCUGCCCUUGACUUUGGGAUAACUUCAGGAAACUGGGGCUAAUACCGGAUAGGAGCUCCUGCUGCAUGGUGGGGGUUGGAAAGUUUCGGCGGUUGGGGAUGGACUCGCGGCUUAUCAGCUUGUUGGUGGGGUAGUGGCUUACCAAGGCUUUGACGGGUAGCUGGCCUGAGAGGGUGACCGGCGAGAGUGGGAUGGAGACACGGGCGGCUGGGCGACGGGCGGCAGCGGUGGGGAAUGUGCGACGGUGGGGCGCGGCGUGACGGCGCCGCGGGGGGGGGGGGGUGGGCGUUUGCGGGGUGUAACCCGUUGGCGCCGGUGGCGAGGGGGGAGGGAUUGUGAGGGGAAAAGACGCCGCGGCGAACCGCGUGACAGCAGGCCGGAAAGAGGGAAGAGCACACGUCCGCCC
RNAcentral lists this ribosomal RNA (506 nucleotides) under uncultured bacterium. Its description in RNAcentral is "partial 16S ribosomal RNA". The stretch from base 12 to 369 matches the Rfam family "Bacterial small subunit ribosomal RNA", at positions 39 to 400 of the family's 1533-position model. The record is from RNAcentral.